This 292-nucleotide ribosomal RNA is filed under the name uncultured bacterium. RNAcentral describes it as "partial 16S ribosomal RNA". The record is from RNAcentral.
GGACUACACGGGUUUCUAAUCCUGUUUGCUCCCCACGCUUUCGCGCCUUAGCGUCAGUAUCGAGCCAGAAAGCCGCCUUCGCCACUGGUGUUCUUACGAAUAUCUACGAAUUUCACCUCUACACUCGUAAUUCCACUUUCCUCUCUCGAUCUCUAGUUUCGCAGUAUCAAAUGCACCUCCCAGGUUAAGCCUGGGGCUUUCACAUCUGACUUACGAUACCGCCUACACGCCCUUUACGCCCAGUAAUUCCGAACAACGCUAGCUCCCCUCGUAUUACCGCGGCGGCUGGCAC